This 252-nucleotide unclassified non-coding RNA is filed under the name uncultured fungus. Its description in RNAcentral is "partial contains 5.8S ribosomal RNA, internal transcribed spacer 2, and large subunit ribosomal RNA". The stretch from base 1 to 52 matches the Rfam family "5.8S ribosomal RNA", at positions 103 to 154 of the family's 154-position model. The record is from RNAcentral. Lineage: Eukaryota; Fungi.
AACGCACAUUGCGCCCACUGGUAUUCCGGUGGGCAUGCCUGUUCGAGCGUCAUUAUCAACCAUCAAGCUCUGCUUGGCAUUGAGUGUCACCUCCCCCCCACGGGGUGGGCGCGCUUCAAACCGGUCGGCGGUGGCUCAGGCCUCUUAAGCGUUAGUAAUACUUCCCGCUUCUAGAGCCUGUGGUCGCCCGCCUCCAAAACCCAACACCUCAAGGUUGACCUCGGAUCAGGUAGGGAUACCCGCUGAACUUAA